Molecule: transfer RNA, 77 nt
Filed under: Puniceicoccaceae bacterium MED-G32
Lineage: Bacteria; Pseudomonadati; Verrucomicrobiota; Opitutia; Puniceicoccales; Puniceicoccaceae
Also listed under: 5 other names
Description: tRNA-Val
Rfam family: tRNA
About the family: Transfer RNA (tRNA) molecules are approximately 80 nucleotides in length. Their secondary structure includes four short double-helical elements and three loops (D, anti-codon, and T loops).
Source: RNAcentral
GGGGGCUUAGCUCAGUUGGUUAGAGCGCUACCUUGACAUGGUAGAGGUCGUGGGUUCGAAUCCCGCAGCUCCCACCA